Anoplophora glabripennis (Asian longhorned beetle) is the source of this 305-nucleotide long non-coding RNA. RefSeq lists it as uncharacterized. The transcript is spliced from 3 exons. The record is from RefSeq and is a predicted model, not a curated record. Lineage: Eukaryota; Metazoa; Arthropoda; Insecta; Coleoptera; Cerambycidae.
GCCGAUCUAUACAAAUAACUGUUUACAGCUGCGGCCAUUUUGGUCUGUCGUUUUGUUAAUUGUUGUCUAUUUAACGGGCCAAGCUCCAUCCAUUGAGGAAUAAAGGAUUAUAUACCAGGGGACUAAAUUGUAUUUUAUUCACGAUUGAUAUGAAAUAUCAAAUGAAAUUUCUCAGCGGAUGAUUUAUGAAGAAGGAAAACUGAAGAAAAAAUAUUACUACUUUAAUUAUGCUAAAAUAUUCUAAUAUUACCUUCAUUAUGUAUUGGGUAUACCUAGUUAUAUGCUAAGAGCAACAACCAAUAAAU